GCCCACUGGUUGGGAUGUGGACAAUGAGGUUUGAGGCAAAACUGUUUUUGUUUUUUUAAGCAGGUUGUUUCGUCACACUCGCUGCUUUAAAAACAUACUCUUCUCCCUGGCGGUGAAGCAUCAGUUUAUGAUGGCAUAUCACUUGGAGUCGGACACAACCAAAAUGUCCAGCUUGACUGUCUCUGCUGUUUCAACUGUCUCCGUUGAUAUUUUGCAUCACGAUAUACAAAAGGUUCUGCAGCUGAAAGACCCUGAUAUUACUCACUGUCAGCUCGCAAAGAAUGAGUCUGUUAAUGGAGUGAACUACAGGGAAGGUAUGGUCGUUGUUCAUGGCUCAGCUGUUUUCCAGAGUUUGCAGAUUAUCCAGAUGGUUGUUGUGGAGAAGAGCUUGAGCUUUAUUGUGAAAGAGCGGAGUGCUUGGUAUAGACGUUUCCCGGGCACUUCCGGUUUACUUCGUGUUUCUGUUAGAACUUCCGGCGCAUGCUGAGUAGUGGUGUAAAAAUGGCUUAAAGUUUUUUUCAUUUCAAGUAUGCAGGCUUAGCCUACACCACCUAACACAGAGGCGCCACUGGGUGGAGUUGAACCCGAGGGAUCUGUCUGGGAGGCGAGAGUGCUAACCACUACACCACUGUACCGUGUCAACUGCUGCCAUUAGAAUGUCUUAUGACUCCAAUUUAGAAAAAAUUCGGAUUUUUAUUCAAAAGUAGGUUUUCUCACCAUCCUGCACCUUCAUAUGACUAAAGAUAGAAUUUAAUGACUUUUUGCAAAAUAUUUUGGGAUUCUUUUCGGACGCGGAAGUUUAAAAAAAGUUUUUUCCAUUACUUUUACAAGUAUGGAGUGAACCUCAUGCAGGCUUAGCCUACACCACCUAACACAGUGGCGCACCGGGUGGAGUUGAACCUCGAGGCAUCUGUCUGCGAGGCGAGAGUGCUAAUCACUACACCACUGUACCGUGUCAACUGCUGCCAUUAGAAUGUCUUAUGACUCCAAUUUAGAAAAAAUUUCUUUUUUUAUUCAAAAGUACGUUUUCUCACCGGCGUCCCCCUUCAUAUGAUUAAAGAUAGAAUUUCAUGACUUUUUGCAAAAUAUUUGGGGAUUCUUUUCAGAUACUGAAGUUUUAAAAAAAAAUGUUCCAUUACUUUUACAAGUGUGGAGUGAAUCCCAUGUAGGCUUAGCCUACACCACCUAACACAGAGGAUCCACUGGGUGGAGUUGAACCCGAGGCAUCUGUCUGGGAGGCGAGAGUGCUAACCACUACACCACUGUACCGUGUCAACUGCUGCCAUUAGAAUGUCUAAUUACUCCAAUUUAGAAAAAAUUCAGAUUUUUAUUCAAAAGUACGUUUUCUCACCGUCGUCCCCCUUCAUAUGACUAAAGAUAGAAUUUCACCACUGUACCGUAUAAACUGCUGCCAUUAGAAUGUCUUAUGACUCCAAUUUAGAAAAAAUUCUGAUUUUUAUUCAAAAGUACGUUUUUUCACCGUCGUCCCCCUUCAUAUGACUAAAGAUAGAAUUUAAUGACUUCUUGUAAAAUAUUUGGGGAUUCUUUUCAGACUUGGAAGUUUAAAAAAAGUUUUUUCCAUUACUUUUACAAGUAUGGACUGAACCCCAUGCAGGCUUAGCCUAAACCACCUAACACAGAGGCGCCACUGGGUGGAAUUGAACCUGAAGCAUCUCUCUGGGAGGCGAGAGUGCUAACCACUACACCACUGUACCGUGUCAACUGCUGCCAUUAGAAUGUCUUAUGACUUCAAUUUAGAAAAAAUUCGGAGUUUUUAUUCAAAAGUAGGUUUUCUCACCGUCGUCCCCCUUCAGAUGACUCAAGAUAGAAUUUCAUGACAUUUGCAAAAUAUUUUGGCAUUUAUUUCAGACUUGGAAGUUUAAAAAAAGUUUUUUUCAUUACUUUUACAAGUAUGGACUAAACCCAUGCAGGCUUAGCCUACACCACCUAACACAGUGGUGCCACUGGGUGGAGUUGAACCCGAAGCAUCUGUGUGGGAGGCGAGAGUGCUAACCACUACACCACUGUACCGUGUCAACUGCUGCCAUUAGAAUGUCUUAUGACUUCAAUUUAGAAAAAAUUCGGAUUUUUAUUCAAAAGUAGGUUUUCUCACCGUCGUCCCCCUUCAGAUGACUCAAGAUAGAAUUCAUGACAUUUGCAAAAUAUUUUGGCAUUUAUUUCAGACUUGGAAGUUUAAAAAAAGUUUUUUUCAUUACUUUUACAAGUAUGGAGUGAAGCCCAUGCAGGCUUAGCCUACACCACCUAACACAGUGGCGCCACUGGGUGGAGUUGAACCCGAGGCAUCUGUCUGGGAGGCGAGAGUGCUAACCACUACACCACUGUACCGUGUCAACUGCCUGCCU
Molecule: long non-coding RNA, 2363 nt
Organism: Gasterosteus aculeatus aculeatus (three-spined stickleback)
Lineage: Eukaryota; Metazoa; Chordata; Actinopteri; Perciformes; Gasterosteidae
Source: Ensembl